Molecule: long non-coding RNA, 2150 nt
Filed under: Linum usitatissimum (flax)
Lineage: Eukaryota; Viridiplantae; Streptophyta; Magnoliopsida; Malpighiales; Linaceae
Description: long non-coding RNA (LUSI_LNC002828)
Source: RNAcentral
GUGAAGAACGUAACUACUCAGAGGGUGACGAUGAUUGCUGCAUUGUUAGUUUGCUUCUGGUCAGUCAACAAGGUUGUGUAUUUGGAUAAUUGGAAGACUGGUUAUGGGAUUCAUACCUUCUGGCCUAGGAGCUGGAGCUGAAGAAGAUGACCGUUUACUUCGCAUCCAAAAGGUCUUUCCUUUGUCCUUGGAUUGCUAAUAGAGGUUUGUGAUUUUGCUUUUAGUGAGAAGCUGAGUUUGUAGCUGUUACAUUGCCCUACUCUUGAGGGUUUUAUGCUGUUUGACAUUGCGGAUGGAAUUUUGAAUUUUCAUACGGUGGGUACUUAGUUUGACUGGUGAUUCUAGCUAUUACUUGGAUGAAAGCUUUGAUAUUUACUAGUUAUAAUGAUCUCCGAUGCUGGUUUGGCAGUAAUGCUGUAUCUAUUUUGAUCAUACACUGUAGAUAGAGUUCUGCAUUUGCAUUAGUCUGUUGCCUGGUCUUGAUGGUUAUAUGUGAUAUAAAGUCUGAUUAAUGCUUAGUAUCGGCGAAGACUUUGUCGGUUGAGUUUUCGUACAGUGAUUACUUUGUCUAGUAAUAUUGGCUAUAACUUUGUUGAAAGCUUUCAUCUUUGAUGGUUCUGGCAGUAAUGCAACUGUUGAUCGAGUUCUGCAUUUGCAUUAUCUGUGUCACUGGCUAAUGCUGAUCUUAUCUUCAACCCUUUAAGGCUUCCAUUGUUACCCCCUUCAGUGCUCGAAAUUUGUCCCUAAGAUUCAUCUUUCAGCAUUUCGUGUGCUGCAAAUAGGACUGAUUCGUAGUUGCAUUUAGCUGAUCAUUCUUUGUUUGAUGUUAUGUUAGCAAAUCACAAUUCAAGCAUGACCUGCAAAAUUUGUUUUAUGUGUUGUUCUGCUAACAUGAAAUAUGGGCCUAACUGUUAAUGGGCCGAAUGCUCUCACCCCAACAUACUUGGAUCUGGAACACCCGUGUUUCAUGGGGGCACCAACAAAGUCCAUCAAUGUCACUUACCAAUUACCAUUCAGCACAUUUUUUAUCCGAAGGUAUCAUAGCUUGAUACACAAGAGUCGGGGUAAGUACAAAAUAAAUAAUUAACCGCGAAUGCAGUAGCGGAGAUCUAAUGAACGAACAACUGGGUCGGGUAAUAUAGAGCCUCACAAGCCACUGAAUAGACGGUAUAUGCUAUUAUCCCCAAUGGGAAAUGUGAUGAAGAAACACCUUCUGCAUGGAUGAGAGUAACAAACGACUCUCCGAGAGGAUGGUACCCACCCGAAUAUCUGAGGUGUUGGAGUUUAGCAGCCUUGUAGCUUUAGCGGAGUUUGUGAAGAGGACAUGCCUUAGUUGCCACUGUGAUGCCGCAAUCAGAGCCCUGCGAAUUGCCAAGACUUCAAGGGUAAGCGGGUAUGUGAUGUGUUUGGGAAACCAUACCAAAAGCCGCACGAACUGAAAUGAUGACCUUUUUGCUUCACAUCCAAAAGGUCUUUCCUUUGUCCUUGGAUUGCUAAUAGAGGUUUGUGAUUUUGCUUUUAGUGAGAAGCUGAGUUUGUAGCUGUUACAUUGCCCUACUCUUGAGGGUUUUAUGCUGUUUGACAUUGCGGAUGGAAUUUUGAAUUUUCAUACGGUGGGUACUUAGUUUGACUGGUGAUUCUAGCUAUUACUUGGUUGAAGGCUUUGGUAUUUACUAGUUAUAAUGAUCUUUGAUGCUGGUUUGGCAGUAAUGCUAUAUCUAUUUUGAUCAUACACUGUAGAUAGAGUUCUGCAUUUGCAUUAGUCUGUUGCCUGGUCUUGAUGGUUAUAUGUGAUAUAAAGUCUGAUUAAUGCUUAGUAUCGGCGAAGACUUUGUCGGUUGAGUUUUCGUACAGUGAUUACUUUGUCUAGUAAUAUUGGCUAUAACUUUGUUGAAAGCUUUCAUCUUUGAUGGUUCUGGCAGUAAUGCAACUGUUGAUCGAGUUCUGCAUUUGCAUUAUCUGUGUCACUGGCUAAUGCUGAUCUUAUCUUCAACCCUUUAAGGCUUCCAUUGUUACCCCCUUCAGUGCUCGAAAUUUGUCCCUAAGAUUCAUCUUUCAGCAUUUCGUGUGCUGCAAAUAGGACUGAUUCGUAGUUGCAUUUAGCUGAUCAUUCUUUGUUUGAUGUUAUGUUAGCAAAUCACAAUUCAAGC